AGGUGGCCGGUCGGGCUGGAAGGGCGGGGAUGAGGGAUGGGACGCAUCCCCGGGGGAUGCUCCUCCAAAGCUUUUAUCGGGCGAGCGCAGUGGCUCACGCCUGUAAUUCCUGCACUUUGGGAGGCUAAGGAUGAAAGGCUUCCUAGCACAAACACCACCCCUGGAGUUCCCGGUACAUCAAUACCAGCCUGGGGAUCACGUUCUCAUCAAGAGUUGGAAGAGGGAAAGCUUGAACCAGCUUAGGAGGACCUCAUCUGGUACUCUUGAUGAAUGAAACAGCAAUCUGAAUGGCUGAAAAAGGAUGGACCCAGCACUCCAGAGUCUCACACUGUCACCAGGCUGGAGUGCCGUGGCGCAAUAUCAGCUCACUGUAACCUCCACCUCCCAGGUUGAAGUGAUUCUCCCAUCUCAGCCCCCAAGUAGCUGGGACUACAGGUGAGUGCCACCACACCCAGCUAAUUUUUGUAUUUUUAGUAGAGAUGGGGGUUCACCAUGUUGCCCAAAAUGGUCUCAAUCUCUUGGCCUCGUGAUCCAACCAUCUCAGCCUCCCAAAGUGCUGGGUUUAAAGGCAUGAGCCACUGUGCCUGGCCCAGAAUUCUUUACUGCUAACACGAGUGGGCCUGGUUCUGGAGGAUUUCCCAGUGGGUCCUGAAGAACCACAGUUUAUUGGCUUGUGGGCAAAGGGGUAUGUGUAUCAGUUGGCCUUUACUGUGUAAUAAACAGCCACAAAAAUUACUAGCUGAAAACAGCAGCUACUUAAUUAGCAGAAGCCUCUUGAGGAUGGACUUGCAAACCAAAGUUGUGCUGGUUUCUACUGGUCAAAGCAAGGACUGGCUCACAUAAAAAGGAGAGAGAUUGCACCUUCAGAGAGUAAUCUCAAGACAUCUGUAAUCUACCACAGGGUGUCACUGGGCCUCUGUCAAGGAGCCUAUUCUUUCUGCCACCAGAUCUGUCUAAUAGCUUGUGUGACAAUGCACUUCCUUCUGGGUCUCUCUCCAAGUGUAGUAAGUGUAUAUGGGAAUCACUUUAUUCAAACAGUGUAGUGCACUUAGUUAGAAAGAAAAGGUAUUAAGGAAGACUUAUAUUUAAAAUUGUUAUUUAUGGUAACAACGAAAAGUAACAUACAAAUUUCAAACAUCAAGAAUAAAAUAAAUUAAAGGUAUGAUCAAUACACAUCAGUACAAAGAGGGGAACACAAUGAAACAAACAAAAAAAAUUAGAUGCUAGAAAUUAAUCCAAAUUAUUACUAAUUAAAUGUCAGGCACUAAAUGUGCAACAUAAAAGGAUUGUUAAUUGGUAUUAUUCAAGUAUUUUUUCUUUUUUUUUUUUUUUUUGUGACAGAGUUUCACUCUUGUUGCCCAGGCUGCAGUGCAAUGGCGUGAUCUCGGCUCACUGCAACCUCUGCCUCCCGGGUUCAAAUGAUUCUCCUGCCUCAGCCUCCCAAGUAGCUGGCAUUACAGGCAUGCACCACUAGGCACAGCUAAUUUUGUAUUUUUAGUAGAGAUGGGGUUUCUCAGUGUUGGUCAGGCUGGUCUCGAACUCCCGACCUCAGGUGAUCACCUGCCUUGGCCUCCCAAAGUGCUGUGAUUACAGACAUCAGCCACUAUGCCCAGCGGUAUACAGAUUUUUUAAAACUCCAGCUAAAGUAUGUAUAAAAAGACACAUUUUUUUAAAAAGCAUACAGAAAGACUAAGAAGUAGAGGAAAAUCAAGCUGAUGUAACUAUAUAAAUAUCUAACAGAAUUAGUGGAACAGAAAACAUGCAAGAAAUAGUGUAGAUUUUUCAAGCGAAAUAUCUGAAAGAAUUCAUAAACCUGGGUACUCUCUACCAAGAUUAACACAAGCAAAGGGAAAGAAUGCACAAUUAAUAAGUUAUUCCAGAAUGCAAAAGGAGACUGAAGUUAUACAACCAGCAAAAAUGAAAAAUAUAAAAAGUAUAAAUUUUUGCUACACAUUUGGAAAUAAAAACAUGCCUAGAAGAAUAUUCUCAAAAUACUUAUGCAAGCCUUAGUUGUCUUUUUUUUUUUUUUUUUAUGAGAUGGAGUUUUGCUCUUGUCACCCAGGCUGGAGUGCAGUGGCAAGAACUCAACUCACUGCAACCUUCGCCUCCCAGAUUCAAGCAAUUCUCCUGCCUCAGCCUCCCAAGCGGCUGGGAUUACAGGCGCCCGCCAACUCACCUGGCUAAUUUUAUUUUUUGAAUUUUUAGUAGAGACAAAAGUUUCACCGCAUUGGCCAGGCUGGUCUCGAACUCCUGACCUCAGGUGACCCCCUGCCUUGACCUCCCAAAGUGCUGUGAUUAAAGCCGUGAAGCACCGUGCCCAACCUAGUUGUCUUUUUUUUUUUUUUUGAGACGGAUUCUCGCUCUGUCGUCAGGCUGGAGUGCAGUGGUGUGAUCUAGGCUCAUUGAAACCUCCACUUCAGGGGUUCAAGAGAUUCUCCUGCCUCAGCCUCCUGAGUAGCUGGGAUUACAGGGGCACAAUACCGUGCCCAGCUAAUUUUUGUAUUUUUAGUAAAGACGGGGUUUCAACAUGUUGGCCAGGAUGGUCUUGAUCUCUUGACCUCAUGAUCUGCCUGCCUCAGCCUCCCAAAGUGGUGGGAUUACAGGCAUGAGCCACCACUCCCAGCCUGAUAACUGUUUUAUUUAUUUAUUUUUAUUUUUUUGGAGAUAUGGGGUCUGUGUUGCCCAGACUGAUCUUGAACUCCUGGCCUCAAGGAAUCCUUCUGACUGAGCUUCCCAGUGUGCUGGGAUUAAAAGUGUGAGCCACUAUGACCAGCCAGAAGAGAUAAUUUUAACUUUUUAAAAUAUUUUGCAGUAUUGGCCGGGCACAGUGGCUUGUGCCUGUAAUCCCAGUACUUUGGGAGUAUGAGGCAUGCAGAUCACCUGAGGUCAGGAGUUUGAGACCAGCCUGGCCAACUUGAUGAAACCGUCUCUACUAAAAAUACAAAAAUCAGCCAGGCAAGGUGGAGGCUGUCUGUAAUCUCAGCUACUCGGGAGGCUGAGGCAGGAGAACCACUGGAACCCAGGAGGUGGAAUUUGCAGUAAGUUGAGAUCACACCAUUGCACUCCAGCCUGGGCAACGAGUGAAACACUAACUCAAAAACAAAGAAACAAACACCAACUCAAAAACAAAGAAACAAACCAAAAAAAUGAAAAUAUCUUGUAGUAUUUUUAAAUAGAGAUGUGGUUUCGCUAUGUUGCCCAGGCUGGUUUGAACUCCUUGGCUCAAGGGAUCUUUUUGCCUCAGCCUCCAAAAGUGCUGGGAUUACAGGCCUGAGCCACUAUUCCCAACCUAGAUGACUCUUAUAGAUUAAGAAUUUAGAAAUAGUAGGAACAUGCCCCACUACAGUAUAUGACAGUCAUUAUAUACAAAUAUCAUUAAGGGACAAUUUUUUAAAAAUCACAAUGUUAUUCAAACAUAGCUCCAUAACAUAUUAGUAAAGGUCAUGAAGUAUUUUUAAGUGAUCCAUUAUGUCACAGUCGAGCUUAUCCAGGAAUACAAGGUUGAUGUAACAUUGGAAAAGCAAUAAAUACAAAUACCACAUUUAUUUAAUUUAAUUUAUUUAUUUUUGACAGAGUCGCACCCUGUCACCCAGCAUGGAGUGCAGUGGUGCAAUCUUGGCUCAAUGCAACCUCCACCUCCCAGGUUCAAGUGAUUCUCCUGCUUCAGCCUCCCAAGUAGCUGGGAUUACAGGUGCACAUCACCACACCCAGCUAAUUUUUGUAUUGUUAGUAGAGAUGGGGUUUCACCAUGUUGGCUGGGCUGGUCUCGAACUCUUGACCUCAAAUGAUCUGCCCACCCCCACCUCCCAAAUUGCUGGGAUUACAGGCAUAAGCCCCCACACCCAGCCUGACCACAUUUGUUUUAGAAAAGCGCCUUUCCAUGCAUUCACUUCUUCAAGUUUUUUUUUUGUUUUGUUUUUGUUUUUUUUUUUGAGAUGGGGUCUUGCUAUGUUGCCUAAGCUGGUCUAGAACCCCUGGGCUCAGGCCACCCUCCCAAGUAGCUAAAACUAUAGGCAUGCAUCACCACAUCAUUUCAUUGAAGUAUUUAUUAGGUACCAUCAUGAGCUAGGUGCAGUUCUAGGUAUUGAGUUUUAUCAGUAAAUAAACAUGAUCAUCACAGAGGAUGUGAAGGAAGCAUUUAAUAAAUUCAAGAGGAAUUCAGCCUCAUAAACUAUGAAAUAUUGGGAAAUAAUUCAUCAUGUAAAAACUGGAUAUAAAGAAAAAACUUUUCCUGCAGGACAUUGUUGCAGGAAGUCAGGGACCCCAAACGGGGGGACUGGCUGAAGCCAUGGCAGAAAAACAUGGAUUGUGAAGGUUUCAUGGACAUUUAUUAGUUCCCCAAAUUAAUACUUUUAUAAUUUCUUAUGCCUGUCUUUACUGCAAUCUCUAAACAUAAAUUGUAAAGAUUUCAUGGACACUUAUCACUUCCCCAGUCAAUACCCUUGUGAUUUCCUAUGCCUGUCUUUACUUUAAUCUCUCAAUCCUGUCAGCUGAGGAGGAUGUAUAUUACCUCAGGACCCUGUAAUAAUUGCAUUAACUGCACAAAUUAUACAGCAUGUGUGUUUGAGCAAUAUGAAAUCUGGGCACCUUGAAAAAAGAACAGGAUAACAGCAAUGUUUAGGAAACAAGAGAGAUAACCUUAAAUUCUGACCGCCGGUGAGCCAGGUGGAACAAAGCCACAUUUCUCUUCUUUCACAAGCAAAUGGGAGAAAUAUCACUGAAUUCUUUUUCUCAGCAAGGAACAUCCUUGAGAAAGAGAAUGCACACCUGGGAGUGGGUCUCUGAACUGGCCCCCCUGGGUGUAGCCAUCUCUUAUGGUCGAGACUGCAGGGGUGAAAUAGACCCCAGUCUCCCAUAGCACUCCCAGGCUUAUUAGGAAGAGGAAAUUCCCACCUAAUAAAUUUUAGUCAGACCAGUUGAUCUCAAAACCGUCUCCUGAUAAGAUGUUAUCAAUGACAAUGGUGCCCAAAACUUCAUUAGCAAUUUUAAUUUCACCUUGGUCCUGUGAUCUCGCCCUGCCUCCACUUGCCUUGUGAUAUUCUAUUACCUUGUAAAGUACUUGAUGUCUGUGACCCACACCUAUUUGCACACUCCCUCCCCUUUUGAAAAUCCCUAAUAAAAACUUGCUGGUUUUUGCGGCUUGUGGGGCAUCACGGAACCUACCGACAUGUGAUGUCUGCCCCGGACACCCAGCUUUAAAAUUUCUCUCUUUUGUACUCUGUCCCUUUAUUUCUCAAGUUGGCUGACACUUAGGGAAAAUAGAAAAGAACCUAUGUGAAUAUCGGGGCUGGUUCCCUGACAGGACAUAACCUCUUCAAAAAAUAAAAAAGAAAUAAAAGCCUACAGCCAAACCAACAAAAUAGAGUGCAUAUCUCACCAGAACUGCAAAGACAAGUAUGCUGGUAUUACUACUUUUAGUUGGUGUUGUGCAGCGGGUUAAAAUCAGUCCAGUAAAGCAAGAAAAUAUUUAGAGAGAGCUUCAUCAUCAUACGAAUUUUGGGGGUCAUUGUUCAGUCCAAAGUACUUAAUAUGAUUCUUUUCUCUUUCCACAUAGAGAAUCAGAUAAUCUAUAAAUAAUGACUCUUACUGUUCCACUUUAGGAGUUAGGUAUACAUACAUAUGUGUAUAUAUAUGUAUAUAUAUAUACACAUACACACACACACACACACACACACAGUGACCCCCCAAAUUUCAUAUGAAGUUCCAAACCUCAAUGUGACUGUAUGUGAAAAGAGAAGGGGGCGGGGAGGGGGGAGACCGACCGACCUAUUUGUUGGUCUCCAUCGUGUGAAAACAUGAGGAAGUGGGCACUUACAUGCCAGGAAGAGAGCUCUCACUAGAGGUUGACCAUGCUGGCACUCUGAUCUCAGACUUCCAGCCUCCAGAUAUGUGAGAAUAUAAAUUUGUGUUUUGGGCCAGAUACGGUGGCUCAGGCCUGUAAUCCCAGCACUUUGGGAGGCCAAGGCAGGUGGAUCACCAAAGGUCAGAUCUGACCAACAUGGAGAUCAGCCUAACCAACAUGGAGAAACCCUGUCUCUACUAAAAAUACAAACUUAGCUAAGGUUUGUGGUGCAUGCCAAUAAUCCCAGCUACUGAGGGUGAGGCAGGAGAAUCACUGGAACUCAGGAGGUGGAGGUUGCGGUGAGCCAAGAUCAUACCAUUGCACUCCAGCCUGGGCAACAAGAGCAAAACUCCAUCUCAAAAAAAAAAAAAAAAAAAAAAAAAAAAUCCUGUGUUUUUAACCUCAUUGAUUUAAAAUUAAAUUAAUUUCUAAGCCAUUUGGUCUGCGGUAUUCUCUUAUGGUUGUCUGAGCUGACUAAGGCAGAUAUUGGUACUGAGAAGUGAGGUACUGCAAUUAAAAACAAACAAAAAAACUAAAAAUGUGAAGCAGCUUUGAAACUGACAAAUGAGUAGAGGCUGGAAAAAUUCUGAUGUGCAAGCUGGAAAUAAGGUUGGUAAGGGUUAUUCUGGUGAGGUGUCAUUGGGGAAUGAGGAACAUGCUAUUGGGAAAUGAAGAAAAGACAACCCUUGAUAUAAAGUGGUGAAGAACUUGGCAGAACUGUAUUCUAGCAUUUUACGGAAGGUAGAGCUUGAGACAGAUAAAAUGGUAUGUAUCACUAAGAUCUGUAAUUAAAGUGUUAAAGGACACAGGAAGCUUCAUUAUUCCUGAGUGCUUACAGGAAAAUGUGCUGGGAACAGGCCCCCCAAAUCUGGCCAUAAACAGGCAAUGAGAAACUGGCCAUAAACAAAAUCUCUGCAGCACUGUGACAUGCUCGUGAUGGCUAUGACGCCCAUGCUGGAGGCUGCUGGUUUACCAGAAUGAGGGCAAGCAACACCUGGCCCACCCAGGGCAGAAAACUGGAAAACUGCUCAAGGCAUUCCUAAACCACAAACAAUAGCAUGAGUGAUUUGUGCCUUAAGGACAUAUUCCUGUUGCAGAUAACAAGCCAGAGCCUGUCCCUUUCUUUCUCAUAAGGAAUACUUAUAGCUGAUCUACAAUCUAUAGGAAUAAUGUUUAUCACAGGCUUACUGUCAAUAAAUAUGUGGGUCAAACUCUGUUCAAGCUCAGCUCUGAAGGCUGUGAGCCCCGAUUCCCACUCUGCACUAUAUUUCUGUGUCUUUGUCUUAAUUCCUCUAGAGCCACUGGGUUAGGGUCUCCACGACCCAGCUGGUCUCGGCAAAAAUGCAAAAGGAGACCUGAAUUGCAGAAGAAAUUGUUAAGGAAAAAGGAACCAGAACUUGGAGAUUUGGAAAAUUCUCAGCCUAUCCAUACUGCAAAAAUUAGAAAACUUGUACUGAAGAGAAUCCUCAAAGUGUGGCUGAACAAUCAUUUGAUAAAGAGAUCAUGAGUGGGAUUCAUGGACUAUAUCAGCCAUCUUAACAGAAGUGAGAAGAGAGACUGGAUUAUACUAUAAGAGACACUGCCACUUACAUUGUGCCACCUAAAAUGGACAGAGAAGACAGAACAGAACAGUCAAGGUUGUCACACUUCUUAUUUUACAAGAAGGGGACAUAGAAAUAAUCAGCUGUGAAAGGGCACUGGCAGUUAUGGAUGGUUUCACUCCUGACAUGCUCUGCAGGAUCCAUGGGAACAGAAGAGAACCUUGGAGGAGCAUCUUUUUAACAAUCCACCUCUGGGGCCUACAUCAUCUUGGCUUCUGGUAAAUUUUGACAUGAAUGUGCCACACUGGCAGCCACUAACCAACAGGGGCUGGGAUCAAUCUGCAUGAUUUAUCUCGUACAGAACUUGUUAAUGCUAUGAUCUUAGGAAUCUAAUCACCAAGGUGAGGCAGCCUGCAGUACUGACCUCACCAUCCAUGACCCUUCUUCACAGAUGCCCAGACUCAGGUAACCAUGAUGUUGUAUUCAGAACCUGUAGGUUUAAUUUCAGACCCUCGGGAUGCAUCUAAGGCCAAUCUGUGAGCCAUUACAACCUCCAAAAGGCAUUUAGGACUAAUCUGAUGAUCUUUGCACUGCCAAUAAUUAAAGAUGGCAACCAAUGGGCUAAAUGGUAACAACACUCAUAUCCUUACAUUCAUAGUAUUUCUCCCCAGUGUGAAUUCUUUCAUGCAUACUUAGGCAUGAGGAAAGAGCAAAUGCUUUCCCAAAUUCUUUACAUACAAAAGGUUUCUCUCUGGUAGGAGUUCACAGGUGGGGUGAGGAAUACAGAAAUUCUUUCCCACAUAUCUUGCAUUUACCUUUCUCCACUGUGAGUUUUCAAAUGUUUACUACGAUGGGAAGAAGUAAUGAAGGUCUUCCCACAUUCAACACAUUCAUAAGGCUUCUCUCCUGUGUGAAUUCUUCUAUGUUGAGUAAGCGUUGAAGAUCUAUUGAAGGCUUUCCCACAUUCCUUACACUGAUAGGGUUUCUCUCCAGUGUGAUUUCGUAUGUGUAUAGCAAGGCCCGUGUACUGAGUGAAGGCUUGGCCACAUUCCUUACAUUCAUAGGGUUUUAUUCCAGUGUGAGUUCUUACAUGUUGAGUAAGGUGAGUUGAUCUAGUGAAGGCUUUCCCACAUUCCGUACAUUUGUGUGGUUUUAUUCCAGUGUGAAUUUGAAUGUGAACAUUAAAGGAUGAGGAAUUUCUAAAGGAUCUUCCACAUUCUUUACAUUCAAAGGACUUCUCUCCUUUAUGAGUUUUUGCAUGUGCAGAAAGUUGAGAAAAAUUAGUGAAGGAUUUCCCACAGUUCUUAGUCUUUUCGGAUUUCUUUCCAGUAUGAACUGCUACACACUGCUUUAAGUGUGAGGAAGUUGUGAUGGCUCUCUCACAUUCCUGAAAUUCACAGAGUUUCUCUCCAAUGUGGAUUCCCAUGUGAUUAUCAAGGCUUGCAAAAUACUUAAAGCCUUUUCCACAUUCCUUACAUUUGUAGGGUUGUCUUCCAUUGAGAAUUUCAAGAUGCACAGCAAGGCCUGGAGUUAAGGUGAAGACUUUUCCACAUGGAUUAAAUUUGGAAAGUUCUUGUCCAAUAGAGGCUUCCUUGUGCACACUGAUGCUGUCUUUUCCAUAACAAUUACCCUCAAAAGUGUUCCCUCCAUUCUGAGCUCUCAUGUGUGUCUUAAGGCAAAACUGUUCACUGAAGACCUCUCCACAAUUCUCACAGAGUUUCCAUCCACUGUAGCUUCUUGUCUGCUGAUGAGGGGAUAAAGGAUUUAAAAUGUUUUCAGACAUAUUAAGAGAUUUCACCCAUCUGAACACAGAAACAUUAUUUUGAUGACAAUUAUUUUACUUUUUAAUGUUUAAUUUUUUUUUUUUUUUUGAGACAGAGUCUUGUUCUAUCUCCCAGUCUACAGUGCAGUGGCACAAUCUCUGCUAACUGCAACCUUCACCUCCCAGG
Molecule: long non-coding RNA, 9332 nt
Filed under: Homo sapiens (human)
Lineage: Eukaryota; Metazoa; Chordata; Mammalia; Primates; Hominidae
Description: HSALNT0396047
Source: RNAcentral